Molecule: ribosomal RNA, 254 nt
Filed under: uncultured bacterium
Lineage: Bacteria
Description: partial 16S ribosomal RNA
Rfam family: Bacterial small subunit ribosomal RNA
Source: RNAcentral
GACAGAGGAUGCAAGCGUUAUCCGGAAUGAUUGGGCGUAAAGCGUCUGUAGGUGGCUUUUAAGUCCGCCGUCAAAUCCCAGGGCUCAACCCUGGACAGGCGGUGGAAACUACCAAGCUGGAGUACAGUAGGGGCAGGAGGGUAAUUUCCGGUGGAGCGGUGAAAUGCGUAGAGAUCGGAAAGAACACCAACGGCGAAAGCACUCUGCUGGGCCGACACUGACACUGAGAGACGAAAGCUAGGGGAGCGAAUGGG